RNAcentral lists this ribosomal RNA (253 nucleotides) under uncultured bacterium. RNAcentral describes it as "partial 16S ribosomal RNA". It matches the Rfam family "Bacterial small subunit ribosomal RNA", at positions 524 to 776 of the family's 1533-position model. The record is from RNAcentral.
UACGAAGGGGGCUAGCGUUGUUCGGAUUUACUGGGCGCAAAGCGCACGUAGGCGGAUCUUUAAGUCAGAGGUGAAAUCCCAAGGCUCAACCUUGGAACUGCCUUUGAUACUGGGGAUCUUGAGUCCGGGAGAGGUGAGUGGAACUGCGAGUGUAGAGGUGAAAUUCGUAGAUAUUCGCAAGAACACCAGUGGCGAAGGCGGCUCACUGGCCCGGUACUGACGCUGAGGUGCGAAAGCGUGGGGAGCAAACAGG